GAUUGCCAUCAGUGCGGAACAGAAAUGAACUAAAUUUAGUCAGCACGCAGUUCCGGAUGUGAACCUUACCCAGAAUCGUGUUGAGUAUCAGAUCGCGUGGGUGGGUACCCAGAACAGGACAGCGCGCAACCGGAUGUAGUGCGGACGUUGAACUGCACGUAGGAAGAAGGGGACUGUACUCUCAAACCCACAAAGCACCCACCUACUGUUUAUUAUUCGACAUCAACAUUACUCCAUCAAUGCAAUUAUCAACUCUCCUGGCUGACCAGUGGGUAGCUGCAAAAGCACAUCCGCUCUCUUACUUCUUCUACCCCGGGUGGUCAACGCCAUCUAACGAAAUCCAAGUGGGUGGCCAUAUAGGGAUGCCAAGAAGUCGAGGCUGACCGCCAGGCGACAGCAGCAGAGGACCGAGGACACGUGAAGAAAGACGAUUGCCCCACCACCCACCCCGACUACCCCCACGUCUUGCCGCCGCAUGAUGAGUGAUGUCAUUGUCAUCCACCGCGGGUGGGGGAACGGGAAGAGGCCCCCACAUCGUCUUUGCGCUGCUUCCGUGCCCUGGAUGCCAUGAUCCAAAAAUAAACACCUGGCAGAACAGAACGGAGAAGGAUGGCUGCUUUGUGAACAGAUGGUGCCAGUACUACCUCCUCCUGGACUUGGAUGACAGC
Molecule: long non-coding RNA, 668 nt
Organism: Pomacea canaliculata
Lineage: Eukaryota; Metazoa; Mollusca; Gastropoda; Architaenioglossa; Ampullariidae
Exons: 3
Source: RefSeq, a predicted model, not a curated record